This is a long non-coding RNA of Fundulus heteroclitus (mummichog), 3167 nucleotides long. RefSeq lists it as uncharacterized. The record is from RefSeq and is a predicted model, not a curated record. The transcript has 2 exons. NCBI's taxonomy places the organism in Eukaryota, Metazoa, Chordata, Actinopteri, Cyprinodontiformes, Fundulidae.
AAAGUGCUGGAACUAUAUCACCACCGUCUCCUCAUUUAGUAAAGAUGGGAACUCAGUUACUAUUGUUUAGAAUUCCAACAUUUCCCAUAACAUUUGGCGUCACGAACAGGAUACGAACCUGUGCGGGGAAACCCCAUUGGAUUUCGAGCCAUCAUGUCUCCAGGCCUCCCACGUCCGAGUGGUGUGAGGCAAUAGUGACUACAGAGAUGCUGUGUACAGGCUCCUAGAAGUCCAGGGCGUUAGCCAGGUGGCUACAGAGGGGCUGGAUACAGACUCCUAGAAGUCCAGAAGGUUAGCCAGGUGGCUACAGAGAGGCUGGGUACAGGCUCCUGGAAGUCCAGGGCGUUAGCCAGGUGGCUACAGAGGGGCUGGAUACAGACUCCUAGAAGUCCAGAAGGUUAGCCAGUGGGCUACAGAGGGGCUGGAUACAGACUCCUAGAAGUCCAGAAGGUUAGCCAGUGGGCUAAAGAGAGGCUGGGUACAGACUCCUAGAAGUCCAGAAGGUUAGCCAGUGGGCUACAGAAAGGCUGGGUACAGACUCUUAGAAGUCUAGAAGGUUAGCCAGUGGACUACAGAGGGGCUGGGUACAGGCUCCUAGAAGUCCAGAAGGUUAGCCAGUGGGCUACAGAGGGGCUGGAUACAGACUCCUAGAAGUCCAGAAGGUUAGCCAGUGGGCUACAGAAAGGCUGGGUACAGACUCUUAGAAGUCUAGAAGGUUAGCCAGUGGGCUACAGAGGGGCUGGGUACAGGCUCCUGGAAGUCCAGAAGGUUAGCCAGUGGGCUACAGAGGGGCUGGGUACAGGCUCCUAGAAGUCCAGAAGGUUAGCCAGUGGGCUACAGAGGGACUGGGUACAGGCUCCUAGAAGUCCAGAAGGUUAGCCAGUGGGCUACAGAGGGGCUGGGUACAGACUCCUAGAAGUCCAGAAGGUUAGCCAGUGGGCUACAGAGGGGCUGGGUACAGGCUCCUAGAAGUCCAGAAGGUUAGCCAGUGGGCUACAGAGGGGCUGGGUACAGGCUCCUAGAAGUCCAGAAGGUUAGCCAGUGGGCUAAAGAGAGGCUGGGUACAGACUCCUAGAAGUCCAGAAGGUUAGCCAGUGGGCUACAGAAAGGCUGGGUACAGACUCUUAGAAGUCCAGAAGGUUAGCCAGUGGGCUACAGAGGGGCUGGGUACAGGCUCCUAGAAGUCCAGAAGGUUAGCCAGUGGGCUACAGAGGGGCUGGGUACAGGCUCCAAUAGAUCCAGGGCGUUAGCCAGGGGGGUACAGAGAUGCUGUGUACAGACUCCUAGAAGUCCAGGGUGUUAGUCGGGGGGCUACAGAGAGAGUGGGUACAGGCUCAUGUGUUGGUGACCUGGAUUAUACUCAGCUGCAUCCCAACUUAAAUGUUGGCCAUGUAGAGAACUACAAUAGCCGUGAUUCCAUCAAUGUUUUUGAUGCACAUUUUGAAUAGACUGGAGAAUUUCUUAGCCUCAUCCGUGAAAAAUAUAAAAUAAAAUCAUUAAAACUUUGCUGAAUAGAUUUAUAUGUGAGGCAUUUUGCAAAAAAAAAAAUUGACGUUUCUCAAAUUAAAUAUUUUGGGGAAGAUCUGAGCUGCAACAUGUUCAGUGUCCUUGAGACUAUUUAAAAUAAAGUGGAUUGGUGUUCUGUGAAGUAGACUUUCAUUUCUCUUUAAAUGAAAUACUGGACUGGUUAUAAACCAUCAGAACAAGAUAAGAACAAAGAGCUUUUUGGUGUGCAGAACCCUUUUACAUUAAUAAAUGUAGCUCUUAGUCAUUAGUUGACAUUUUGCAUGCUUUGUUUCAACAUCUGAACAUUGUGUCAGGGAUUAGAACUAAACCAGGGACAGCUGGUAAAGGUCUCUGAGCUGUUAAGUGUUUCUGGGAUUGUUUCAUCCUCCAAGCAGUUUGAAGGUUUCAUAAGGUAAUUUAAAAUGAAAACUGAAUGACGAUAAUAUCUUAAUAAAGGUAGGUUUGAUCUCUCAAUUUUUAAACUUUCAGAACCUGAAACAUUAAAGCUCCAACACGUUCAAAAUGCACGAUAAGCAUUUUUCACCUUAGAAACUGUAAUAUUCAGGUUUUAUAAUCAAAUAUGUCUAUAUAGUAAUUAUUGUGUAGGUAGGGGUUGUGAUUUUCAGGAGCUAGUGGGCUUUAACCCAUAAGAAGAGGACAGGAAAGUAGAAAAAGCAACAGGUUAACAGUUUAGAGCAGACAUGUCCAAAGUCAACCCUGAAGGGCUCAGAUCCUGCGUGUCCCAGUCAUUUACUGGGCUCAGGACACCUUAAUCAUGUCGUCUAGGUUAUUAUCAUGUCUUUGUUGGAUUUGAUGACAUACCGUAGUGUAGGGAUGGCCAAUUGUGGUAGUUUAUUGUUAUCUUAAAAGACAUUUAAGUACCCAAAUUUAGAUUUAUGCUCUGACAGUUUUCUCCAUAGUUUGUUGGGGCUUUAACUAUAAUGAACUGUUUUUUAAAAAUACAUUUAUCAUCACUUUUAUCAUUGUCACAAUAACUUAUCCUUAUCGCAAUAAAUACCAACCAGUAAUGAAGAUGUGUUGGAGCAGUGCAGGCUCUCGGGACUGGAGAUGGUCCACCCCUGCAUUAGUGGGGGACUGCACUCUAAUAUUGUAAUCUUUGUCACCUCCAGAUUGAUUUCACAAAGAUCUAUUAACUUAAAACCAGCUUUCAGCUCCGGCAUAGAACUAUUUGUGCACGAUUUAAACAAACUUCCUUUAGUUACAUAGACUGGAAACAAGCUGUGAGUGCUGAGGUCUGAACUCCAGGUCCUACUUAGAGAACUAGGUUGGGUAAAGCAUAGUUUGGGUUUGUGUUGAUGACACAAUUCAAGGAAGAGGUUUUCAGUCAAAGCUUCCUGUUUCUAGAUACUUGGUUAAUCCACCAGUCCAUUACAUUAUCCACCUGUACAUCUGAGUUUUAGCACACCUGGCAACUCCGUUAAUUUCAGAUUGAUAUGGCGCCAAUUUACACCUGCCGUCUCAAGGCACAUAAACAAAAUCAAAUUUAAAAAAGAGAUAUUACACGGUGUAAUUCUUUUAGUCAGAUUCAGAUACAUAUGCUCCAAUUUAGUUCCUGCCAGAAAACCUGCAGCCUGAGAGGACAAACUAUUGCAAUUGUAAAGAAAUGCUUGGACACAAUAUUUAGUCAGAUAUAGUUUAAA